GAGAGAAGGAGAAAAAGGAAGACACCGGAGACCACCCACUCUUCCCAGUCACAGAUUAAGAAGGAAAGAAAGAUACAUAAAAUAAAGAAAGGAGAAUGAAGGCAUCCAACUAAGGAAUAUGAAGACCACUGGACAAAUGAGACAUUUGAAGAAAAAGAACAAAUCAUCCAGAGAAAAUGUCCCAAAAAAAGAUGAACCAUGACCAUUCCUAACAGUGGCCUCUGGAGUCUCCAAAGGGAUGAUGGGGCCCCACGAUGACAAUUCCACCUGGAUUGGGGUAACCCCGUAAGCUGACAAACACCACCCACAGAUCAGCUUUGGACUACAAACUGCUCAGGACAAUUUCAAGGCAGCUGGCUGAGGUGGUCCAGCCUCACAGACUCCUCCAGCCAGGACUUCAGAUGGGCCCUGCACUUUCUCAUCACACAGAGACUGACGACAAACCAUACAGCUAGCUCUCCCAGGACUUGACCAUUAUUUCAAUUGUAUCAGGGCCCCCUAAAGAUGCUGUUGCCUCCAGACAGCAGUAAGUAACUUUAAGAACACGAUGUCCACAUUCCCAAGAGGUAGGGUGGGAAGUUUUUGGUUGAUCAGUGGAUUAUGGAUAUUUGUCAUCCUUUAGGGCAGUUGGUUACAAGUUUCCAUUGGUAAUAGUCAAUAAGAAAGUUAAAUAAAGGAGAUUAGAUUCUGUUCUGAAGAGAAAAAGGGGGUAUAGAAAUGAUAGGAUAGAAGGGCAUAUUAUUCGAUCUACUUUUAAGCCAAAAAAAGCAACUACUAGUCUUGAAUAUUUUAUAUUCAUAUGGAUUUUUGUAUGUUGAUACAAAUUUGAGGUUAUACUGUAUAUAUGUUUCCAGUCUU
Long non-coding RNA from Mesocricetus auratus (golden hamster), 858 nucleotides. RefSeq lists it as uncharacterized. Lineage: Eukaryota; Metazoa; Chordata; Mammalia; Rodentia; Cricetidae. The transcript is spliced from 3 exons. The record is from RefSeq and is a predicted model, not a curated record.